This 303-nucleotide signal recognition particle RNA is filed under the name Microcebus murinus (gray mouse lemur). RNAcentral's name for it is "Metazoan signal recognition particle RNA (ENSMICG00000034774.2)". It matches the Rfam family "Metazoan signal recognition particle RNA". Rfam says of the family: The signal recognition particle (SRP) is a universally conserved ribonucleoprotein. It is involved in the co-translational targeting of proteins to membranes. Lineage: Eukaryota; Metazoa; Chordata; Mammalia; Primates; Cheirogaleidae. The record is from RNAcentral.
GCCGGGCAUGGUGGCACUCACCUGUGAUCCCAGACAUUUAGGAGGCUGAGGAGGGAGGAUUGCUUGAGCCAGGAGUUCUGGGCUAUAGUGCACUAUGCAGAUCAGGUGUCCACAUUAAAUUCAACCUCGAUAUGGUGACCUCCAGGGAGCAAGGGAGCAGGGGACCAGGUUGUUUAGGGAAGGGGUGAACCGGCCUGGUUGGAAACAGAGCAGGUCAAAACUCUGGUGCUGAUAAGUAGUGGGAUUGUGUCUGUGGAUAGAUGCUGCACUCCGGCCUGGGCAACAUAGUGAGAUUCUGUCUCU